ACGGAAGGCAGCAGUGGGGAAUAUUGCACAAUGGGCGAAAGCCUGAUGCAGCGACGCCGCGUGAGUGAAGAAGUAUCUCGGUAUGUAAAGCUCUAUCAGCAGGGAAGAAAAUGACGGUACCUGACUAAGAAGCCCCGGCUAACUACGUGCCAGCAGCCGCGGUAAUACGUAGGGGGCAAGCGUUAUCCGGAUUUACUGGGUGUAAAGGGAGCGUAGAUGGUUUGGCAAGUCUGAAGUGAAAUGCGGGGGCUCAACUCCUGAACUGCUUUGGAAACUGUCGAACUAGAGUGCAGGAGAGGUAAGUGGAAUUCCUAGUGUAGCGGUGAAAUGCGUAGAUAUUAGGAGGAACACCAGUGGCGAAGGCGGCUUACUGGACUGUAACUGACGUUGAGGCUCGAAAGCGUGGGGAGCAAACAGGAUUAGAUACCCUGGUA
Molecule: ribosomal RNA, 434 nt
Filed under: uncultured Lachnospiraceae bacterium
Lineage: Bacteria; Bacillati; Bacillota; Clostridia; Lachnospirales; Lachnospiraceae
Description: partial 16S ribosomal RNA
Rfam family: Bacterial small subunit ribosomal RNA
Source: RNAcentral